AGAUAUGAAAACUGAAUUAGGUCAGGUUUUUUACCACCAACCUAAUCAUAAAAACAGUAUUAUUAAUAACCGUAUUCGGGAUAUUUUAGUCGCAUCCAAUGGGGAUAUUUGGUUUGCAACCCAUGGUGGUAUAAGUAAAUGGUCUUCUACCAAUGCAGAUGUCGGUUUUAGCCAUUACACCCGCGAACAGGGCUUACCCAGUAACACUAUUUAUGCGCUGCUCGAAGAUCAAAACCAUCACAUUUGGUUUAGCAGUAAUGCAGGCAUUGGUAAAUUAAACCCUGUAACUCACCGCAUUAUUAGCUUCAAUGAACAGGAGGGAUUGCAGUCGCUAGAGUUUAAUGGCGCAGUAAAACUUAAAGAUAGCGAUGGUGACCUUUGGUUUGGUGGCAUUAAUGGUAUUAAUCGUUUUAACCCUCAAACUAUACCCGAGCAAAGAGGUGAAGCCAAAGUUGCAUUAACAGGCUACAAGAUUGCGGGGAAGCAUCACACUAUUUUAGAUUUAAGUCGCCCACCGCCGAUUGUGAUGAAUUACGGCGAACAAUUAGUGAGUUUUGAAGUGACCUCAUUAGAUUUUAGUUAUACGGGGAAAAACCGUUUUAGCUAUUUCCUUGAAGGCUUUGAUCACCAGUGGCAUCAAUUACCCGCGGGUAAUGAGAUUACAUUUACCAAUAUUAAUCCCGGUCAAUAUGUGCUUCAUGUACGCCACUCAUUACAAUAUAACCGUGAAGGCUCACAAACCCUUUUAGUGAAUCUAAAGGUACAAGCUCCCUUCUAUAGAACCCCAUUCGCCUACACCCUUUAUUGCUUACUCGCUAUAGGAUUAUUGAUAUGGGGACUUCAUUGGCGUAAACAAAAACGCCAACAACAACGGGAGUUUGAAACCAGUAUCCGAGCCUCUGAAGAAAGGCUAAAGCUCGCGCUAUGGGCAUCAGGCGAUGGGAUGUGGGACUGGAAUAUUAAAGAAAAUAAAGUAUACCGAACCAAUAUGGAUGCAUCUGUCUCACAUUGGAGUAGCCACAAUCUGCUGCACGAGAAUAUGCACCCUGAAGAUAGGGAAAAAUUUAAGUAUGAAUUGGCCGAACACCUACAGGGCCGAACCCCUUUCUUCGAAAUCGAGUAUCGGAUUGAAGGUGCUUUUGGUAAAUGGAUUUGGAUUUUGGACCGAGGUAAAGUCGUUGAAACUGACGCACAUAUGCAACCCAUGCGUAUGACGGGGACUAACCGCAAUAUAACCUCCCGUAAGCUGAUUGAAAAUGAACUGGUACUUUCAUCCCAAGUGCUUAACAGCAUGAAUGAAGCCGUUGUCGUGGCUGGGUUAGAUUAUAAAAUCCGCUCGGUGAAUCCAGCAUUUAGUGCUAUUACAGGAUAUUCUGAACGUCAAAUCACCGAUAAAUAUUUAGUUCAUCUGGCCUAUAAACAACAACGCGAACUCUUCAAUAGCAUCGAGCAACAGUUACUUCGCCAUAAACAUUGGGUAGGCGAAAUUUGGAUCCGCAAUAAACAACGCAAAGCCAUAUUGGUUUGGCUUGAGAUCAACCAAGUUAUCGAUAUAAAAGGUGAAACUAGCCACUUUGUUGCGGUAUUUACCGACAUUACAGAGCGAAAGAAAGCCGAGCAGGAUCUGCGCUUCCUUGCCAGUUUUGAUACUUUGACAGGAUUGCCAAACAGAACCCUCUUCCAAGACAGGCUCAAUCACGCAAUCACCCAAGCACAUAGGGCAAAUAAUAUCGUUGCACUGCUGUUCCUCGAUCUCGAUCGUUUUAAGCAUAUUAACGAUUCUAUGGGCCAUCAUGUGGGGAUUUAUUGCUCAAAGCCGCGGCUAAGCGCCUGCAAAAUGCCGUGCGAGAAGGCGAUACGGUUGCCCGUCUGGGUGGCGAUGAAUUCACUAUUAUUUUGGAAGGUGUAGCCAAAACCAAAGCCGCGACACUGAUUUCGGAAAAAGUGCUACGCGCCUUCCAAACACCGUUUUUAUUAGAGGAUAAGUCCUUAACUAUCUCAACCUCGAUAGGAAUUAGUCUCUAUCCCAAUGAUGCCGACAAUGCAGACUCAUUAAUUAAAUUUGCCGAUACGGCCAUGUAUCAUGCUAAGUCUUUAGGUCGAAAUAAUUUUCAGUUUUACACCCAUAAACUUAAUGAAAUCGCGACUCGCCAUGUGCUAUUGGAAGCUGGAUUAAAACAAGCCAUUCAUCGCAAUGAGCUAAGUUUAGUCUACCAACCUAAGUUCAGUUUACGGGAUGGCUCACUCACAGGGCUAGAAGCCCUAUUACGUUGGCACCAUACUGAACUGGGCCCGAUUUCACCCGUAGAAUUUAUCCCGCUAGCGGAAGAAACAGGGAUUAUUAAUCAAAUUGGACAUUGGGUGAUUAACCAUGCCUGCCAACAACUGGCUGAGUGGAAUGCAUUAGGUUUCAAUAACAUUAGCAUGGCGGUUAAUUUAUCGGCUCGACAACUCAAAGCCGAUAUCAUCUCCACCAUUGAAGUCGCCCUCGCCGUCUCUGGACUUCCCGCUCAAUCACUAGAGCUUGAAUUGACCGAAUCGAUGAUCAUGGGUAACCCCCAAGAUUCUGUCAGUAUUUUAUCUAAACUCAAGGCGCUGGGAUUAACUAUCGCGAUUGAUGAUUUUGGGACUGGAUAUUCAAGCCUAAGCUAUCUAAAACGCUUCCCGAUAGACACGUUAAAAAUUGAUCGAGAAUUUGUCAGAGAUAUCAUCAACGAUCCCGACGAUGCAGCGAUCACCAGUGCCAUCAUUGCCUUAGCACACAGUCUAGAACUUAAUGUGGUUGCCGAAGGCGUAGAAACCCAAGCACAGCUAAACUUUUUAGGGCUACAGGGUUGCGAUGAGGUACAAGGUUUCCUCCUCAGUAAACCUCUCAGUGCUAAAGACU
This 2887-nucleotide ribosomal RNA is filed under the name Shewanella putrefaciens. RNAcentral's name for it is "23S ribosomal RNA". The record is from RNAcentral. Lineage: Bacteria; Pseudomonadati; Pseudomonadota; Gammaproteobacteria; Alteromonadales; Shewanellaceae.